CCAAUCGCGAACAAGAAGAAGAAGAUGUCUUCUUCAUCGUCCUCGUCGUCGAGGCGAGUGGUGAAGCGUGCACAAUAUAAGGAUGCAGCAAGAUUAAAGAACCCUGGCAUUCCCGGCGUUUUAACUAUGGUCACAAAAACACUAAGGAGGGAUCCAAGCAAGCACCUUUGCUUAAUCUUAGCAGCAGUCGUUAAAAGUUACAUUUUUGAGUUUCAAAGUUUUCCCGAUCUUCAUGAAUGCCGUGAUUUUGUAGCCAAUGCCCUAUCUAAGGCUUCAGAAGCUGCAAAAACUGGUCCUAAAAAAGUUGUAGUUACAUUGCCUGAUGAACAACUCAGUGCAGCGGAAAUGGAGCUCCGUAUGAAGCUAUUGCAAGAAGACAGUGAACUGCAGAAACUUCAUAUGCAGUUUGUAAUCAGUGGUGUUUUGACAGAAUCUGAGUUCUGGGCAACUAGGAAGAAGUUGCUUGAUGGAGAGAGCCAUACAAAGCCAAAACAACGGGUUGGUUUUAAAAAUUCAAUGAUUUUGGACACCAAACCUACAAGUGACGGUCGGAUGAACAAGGUUACGUUUAAUUUCACUCCAGAGAUUAAAUAUCAGAUCUUUGCUCUCAAACCGGCUGUUCACCAGGCAUUUCUUGAACUAGUGCCCAGUAAGAUGACAGCAAAAGACUUCUGGACAAAAUAUUUCAGAGCUGAAUUCCUUCACAGUACAAAGAAUGCUGCUGCAAUUGCGGCAGAAGCUGCUGAGGAUGAGGAACUGGCAAUUUUUUUAAAGGAGGAUGAAAUAUUGGCAAGGGAAGCUCAUCAGAAGAUUCGACAGGUUGAUCCAACUUUGGAUAUGGAAGCUGACCAAGGGGAUGAUUAUACACAUCUUCCUGAUCAUGGGAUCUUUCGUGAUGGUAGCAAGGACAUCACUGAACUACAGAAUGAGCAAUACAGGAGGACUUUAUCACAAGACCUUAACAGGCAAGGGGCUGUUGUUCUUCAAGGCAGAACUGUUGAUGGGGAUUUAGAAGAUCCAAAUAAUGUUGCAGAGGCACUUAUGCGGUCAAGACAGGAGCCUGAUGAGAGUGCUGUGCAGGAGAGACUUGAUAGGAUUACUCGGAUGAAUGAGAUAGAUGACCUUCGAGAACCUCGCGAUCAUCGUGUUGCUCAAUUAUGUAUUAAGGAUCCUCGAGACUACUUUGACACGCAACAAGCUAAUGCACUUAAAGCUUUGGAUGACUCACGAAUAGGAACGGAACAAAAAAAAUGCAGCAUAACUACUGAGGAAGCAUAUGGCUCCUUGAAGGAGUCUAUAUCUAAAAUUAAGAGCAUUGGAUUGAAAAAUUCCACUGUUGCACCAGAAAUUGCUCUUAUGGUUCUUAAUGGACUGACUCAGAAUAUUUCUAGUACCAAGUAUCAACUCGGAAAGAAUCCUCGGGAGAGUAUUCUGGACAGUUUGCCAAACAAAACGAAAGAGGAACUGCUGCAUCAUUCGAUGUCCAUUCAAGAAUUACUGCGGCAUUUUUGGUCUACAUAUCCAAUUACAACAGCUUAUCUUUCUACAAAGGCAAACUGAAGGAUGCCAUGUCACAAAUCUAUCGACAGCUAGAGGUAUCAGUCCUGCUACUUUAUCUUUUUCUCAUUUGUUUUCUGGGCUAUUUAAAGACUCCUUCAUAGUGUCAUUAUUGAUGUUGAGCUGUUUUAAAAUUUUCAUGUGGAAUGUGUAGUAAUUUUAUAAGUAGUGCUGAAAACAGCCCACUAGUGUUGUCUGCCUCAUCAAUUCGAGGUUCCUUCACCUCAAAAGUAGUUGUGCUCCUGGUGCCUUCUUUGCCUCAUUGCUAACACAGUCAUCUAUUAAAAUCUGGUCGCCUUAUAGCUUUAUGACAAUCCAUUGGGGAUUUUCUGUGACUGUAUCUUAUAUCAAACAGCCUGUUUGUGGCAACCUGUGUGUGGUGGAUCUUCAUUGGAGUGGAGCGAUGGAAAGAGGUUUGGAGACGAGAGAGAGACAUUGAUUUCUUAUUGGAGGAUUUGAUGCAUAUUUUUAUCUACCGCUUUGACUGUCUAAAGAUUCUUAGCUAGUGCUCCACCUUUGCAGUUCAACAUCUACCUUAAUUCUGCUUCAUGAAAUUCGUAAAAACAGAAAAUGUCAUUUGGUGAUCUUCUCAAAACUCUUUUUUUCUGUUUUGAUAUAUGCAAUACUGAUUUCUUCAUGUUUUAAACCCCACAUUAAUCGGGUUUAAUUGUUUUGGAAGAGGGUUUAGGAUCUACUUUGUUCACGUAUCGAUUGAAAUUUUCCAGGAGAUAAAGGAAUCAGACUAUAGCCGACCCCACUUAGUGGGAAAAGGCUUUGUUGUUGUUGUUAUAAAGGAAUCAGACUUCCGGCACCAGGUUUCUCUCCUUGUUCGGCCAAUGCAUCAGGCACUUGAUGCGGCGUUUCA
This is a non-coding RNA of Malus domestica (apple), 2422 nucleotides long. Lineage: Eukaryota; Viridiplantae; Streptophyta; Magnoliopsida; Rosales; Rosaceae. The record is from RefSeq and is a predicted model, not a curated record.